GCAAGAAAAAAUGAUGGUCUAGGAUCCUCGCAGGAGCCUCACUGACCCACAGUAAUCAAAUAAUCAGAACUAAACUAACCACUCUUCUCUUUUCUGCAUUCCAGAUUGCAAAGCGACCUAUUUUUUUAGAAGUGGGGAAGAGGAAGGUGUAGUCAACAUAUUGAGAGAAGAAAAGCUGAAAAAAUAGAAGAGAAUGACAUUAUUUAAGCCUGUGAAUACUUUUACGUCUAAAGUCACAUUAAUGCCUGGUCCUACUGGGUCCAUAAACCAAUACGGACUCUUAAAGAGUCACAGUGUUGUCCAUCUCAGUAAAUGGAAGGCCAAGGUGGGAGGAUCACUUGAGCCCAGGAGGUCAAAGCUGCAGAGAGAGCUAUGAUUACACCACUGAACUCCAGCUUUUAUUAAGACCCUGUCUUAACAAAAACAACAACAACUACAACAACAACAAAGAACAUUAUUGAGAAAAUGAAAAUGCAACCUACAAAAUGGGAGAGAAUAUUUGCAAAUCACAUAUUUGAAAAAGGUCUAGUAUCUAGAAUAUAUAAAUCACUCUUACAACUCACUAACAAAAGGAAAAAAAAGGGGCAAAAGAUUUGAAUAAGUGUAACUCCCAAAAAGAUACAUGAAUACAAAUAUCAAUAAGUACAUGCAAAGAUGUUUAACAUCAUUGGGGGUUAGAAAAAUGAAAAUCAAAAUCAUAAUGACAUACCACCCACCUGAAUUACUAUAAUUUUUUUAAAUCAGAAUAUAAAAGGAAUUGCUGAUAAUGUAUUAAAAUUGGAACCCUCAUACAUUGCUAGUGGAAGGUAUAUUGGUAUAGACAUUGUGGAAAACAGUUUGGUAUUUCUUAAAAAAAUAAGU
Molecule: long non-coding RNA, 861 nt
Filed under: Homo sapiens (human)
Lineage: Eukaryota; Metazoa; Chordata; Mammalia; Primates; Hominidae
Description: HSALNT0093234
Source: RNAcentral